This 482-nucleotide ribosomal RNA is filed under the name uncultured bacterium. RNAcentral describes it as "partial 16S ribosomal RNA". It matches the Rfam family "Bacterial small subunit ribosomal RNA", at positions 30 to 507 of the family's 1533-position model. The record is from RNAcentral.
AUUGAACGCUGGCGGCAUGCUUUACACAUGCAAGUCGAACGGUAACAGGCCGCAAGGUGCUGACGAGUGGCGAACGGGUGAGUAAUGCAGCGGAACGUGCCCAGUCGUGGGGGAUAACUACUCGAAAGAGUAGCUAAUACUGCAUACGAUCUAUGGAUGACAGCGGGGGACCGUAAGGCCUCGCGCGAUUGGAGCGGCCGAUGUCAGAUUAGGUAGUUGGUGGGGUAAAGGCUCGCCAAGCCAACGAUCUGUAGCUGGUCUGAGAGGACGACCAGCCACACUGGGACUGAGACACGGCCCAGACUCCUACGGGAGGCAGCAGUGGGGAAUUUUGGACAAUGGGCGCAAGCCUGAUCCAGCAAUGCCGCGUGCAGGAAGAAGGCCUUCGGGUUGUAAACUGCUUUUGUACGGAACGAAACGGCUCUGGUUAAUACCCGGGGCUAAUGACGGUACCGUAAGAAUAAGCACCGGCUAACUACGUG